GGAGGAAAAGAAACCAACAGGGAUUGCCUCAGUAACGGCGAGUGAAGCGGCAACAGCUCAAAUUUGAAAUCUGGAGCCUUCGGCUUCCGAGUUGUAAUUUGAAGAGGAUGUUUCGGUUGUGGCCUGGGCCUAAGUUCCUUGGAACAGGACGUCAUGGAGGGUGAGAAUCCCGUACAUGGCUGCAGGCUUACUUCCAUGUGAAACUCCUUCGAAGAGUCGAGUUGUUUGGGAAUGCAGCUCAAAAUGGGUGGUAAAUUUCAUCUAAAGCUAAAUAUUGGCGGGAGACCGAUAGCGCACAAGUAGAGUGAUCGAAAGAUGAAAAGCACUUUGAAAAGAGAGUUAAACAGCACGUGAAAUUGUUGAAAGGGAAGCGCUUGCGAUCAGACUCGCUCUCGGUUGAUCAACGUUCCUUCUGGUGCGUGCACUCUGCCGUUGGCGGGCCAGCAUCGGUUGGGGCGGCGGGACAAAGCCGGCGGGAAUGUGGCUCCUCUCGGGGAGUGUUAUAGCCCGCUGUGUAAUGCCGCCAGCCCCGACCGAGGUCCGCGGUUCUGCCUAGGAUGCUGGCUUAAUGGUCGUAAGCGACCCGUCUUGAAACACGGACCAAGGAGUCUAACAUCUAUGCGAGUCUUUGGGUGUCAAACCCAUGGGCGGAAUGAAAGUGAACGGAGGUGGGAGUCCUCGGAUGCACCAUCGACCGAUCCUGAUGUUCUCGGAUGGAUUUGAGUAUGAGCAUAGCUGUUGGGACCCGAAAGAUGGUGAACUAUGCCUGAAUAGGGUGAAGCCAGAGGAAACUCUGGUGGAGGCUCGCAGCGGUUCUGACGUGCAAAUCGAUCGUCAAAUUUGGGUAUAGGGGCGAAAGACUAAUCGAACCAUCUAGUAGCUGGUUCCU
RNAcentral lists this ribosomal RNA (889 nucleotides) under Arthrobotrys gephyropaga. RNAcentral describes it as "LSU rRNA". It matches the Rfam family "Eukaryotic large subunit ribosomal RNA", at positions 52 to 959 of the family's 3401-position model. Lineage: Eukaryota; Fungi; Ascomycota; Orbiliomycetes; Orbiliales; Orbiliaceae. The record is from RNAcentral.